RNAcentral lists this ribosomal RNA (557 nucleotides) under uncultured bacterium. RNAcentral's name for it is "bacterial SSU rRNA". It matches the Rfam family "Bacterial small subunit ribosomal RNA", at positions 364 to 917 of the family's 1533-position model. The record is from RNAcentral.
UUGGAUGGGGGGCACCUGAUCCAGCAUGCCGCGUGUGUGAAGAAGGCCUUCGGGUUGUAAAGCACUUUUGUCCGGAAAGAAAACGUUCUGGUUAAUACCUGGGGCGGAUGACGGUACCGGAAGAAUAAGCACCGGCUAACUACGUGCCAGCAGCCGCGGUAAUACGUAGGGUGCGAGCGUUAAUCGGAAUUACUGGGCGUAAAGCGUGCGCAGGCGGUUUUGUAAGACAGGCGUGAAAUCCCCGAGCUCAACUUGGGAAUUGCGCUUGUGACUGCAAGGCUAGAGUAUGUCAGAGGGGGGUAGAAUUCCACGUGUAGCAGUGAAAUGCGUAGAGAUGUGGAGGAAUACCGAUGGCGAAGGCAGCCCCCUGGGACGUCACUGACGCUCAUGCACGAAAGCGUGGGGAGCAAACAGGAUUAGAUACCCUGGUAGUCCACGCCCUAAACGAUGUCAACUAGUUGUUGGGGAUUCAUUUCUUCAGUAACGUAGCUAACGCGUGAAGUUGACCGCCUGGGGAGUACGGUCGCAAGAUUAAAACUCAAGAAAAAUUUGACGGA